UCAGCCCUGGGGUGGGUGCCAGGAUCCGGCCUCACAUCCGGCUCGGCUUCCCCCUUGCAAGCGGCGCGGGGCUAAUUUCAAUUAUCUUCUCCAGGCCAUAUGAAUUCUAUUAAUAUCAAAGUAAUGAGGUAAUUACUGUGAUUUGGAGGAACGGCUGGGGAAUUGCUUUGGAUAGGAUUUCGCCAGCCGAAGAGGGUAAAUUAAAACCUCUGUUUGGAAGGGAACAAAAGGCUGCAUCUGAGGCGAGCAGAGAGGCGCGGGUGCCAGCCCAGGGCCGUGGGGGACACCCAGGGGCUGAGUGGAGUCCUGCCACUGACGCCACUUGGUCCUGGAGCGGAUCUGAGGCGCAGAAGCUGCAGCAGGCGCAGGGAGCCCUGCUGAUGUG
Molecule: long non-coding RNA, 385 nt
Filed under: Anser brachyrhynchus (Pink-footed goose)
Lineage: Eukaryota; Metazoa; Chordata; Aves; Anseriformes; Anatidae
Description: lncRNA (ENSABRG00000018617.1)
Source: RNAcentral